GUUCACAGAGGAAGCGAGCGAGCUUAGCUAGGUGAUUCCUUCAGACCACUUCCGCUUCCAACAAAUCCAUCACCUCGCCGGCGCAAAUGGACGCCUUGGAGAGAGGCGAGCGCUGUUAGCCUAAGAAACUCUCGGCUAGCUAAUAUCCUGAUGAAUGACCGGCGGUUGCACUGGAAUGCCUGGUUACAACUAAAGGACCUGGGGUCCUUUUAUAUGCCCGGGUGCGCACAGCUCACACACACAUGCUAGAAAUUACGGGGCUACUACUAAAUCUGGACGUCGAACUCGAGCUUUCAGGCUCGGCUCGGGGUCGCCCAGGCUCGGCCCGAGUUUGAUUCGGCCCGAGAAACAAAAAGGCCGAGCCGAGCUGCGUUAUUGGGCUUGUUUCGGCCUCGGGCCGAGCCCAGCUCGGCUCGAGCCAGCCCGUGAGCUCGUCCAACUCUACAGCCCAAAGUGGCCCAGCACCAGUCACUUGACCUAGCGCUCUACCUCACCCCGAGCAGCACUCAUCCUCUUUCCCCCCAGCGCUAGGUUAGCCAGCCUCCGCCGGCCGCCGCCAUCGCAGUUCCUUCUGUCGCCGAUGACACACACGCCGCUUGUCCAGAUCGCCCAAGGAGCCAUGGAGAAGAAGAAAGAGAGGUCAUUGACCUCCAUUGUUGGGAAGGAGCCAGCGAUUGGAAAAGAGAAGAAGGGCAGAAGCAAGACCUCCAGCUCCAUGGACGCCGGCAUCGAGCCGUCCGUUCGCUCCAAGGCCAAUCCAAGCAUCGUCCUUGUUGACCCGCUUGUGAGGGCAAAGCAGCAGGCGCGAGCACUGCCACCCCCGCCUCCGCCUCGGCGUCUACCUGACAACAAAGGUAUCGGCGCGCGGGCGGCGGCUGUUGUUGCAUCCGGCUGGACCGGCUCCGCGAACACCUCCGUCACGCCUACUUCUCCGGCUGAAGCUGAGUCCUGGGUAAGCACAAAGCAGUGGCCUGCUCUUCUUUCCUCUGGAUAUAAAUAAAGCUUGUGAGCUUGUUGUGUGAUGCAUAGGGAUAAGCCAGAGAACAACAAAAGAAGUAGUAAAUUUCCUAUUGUUUCCACUUGAUUUAUGCCGAUCUGCUAUUGUCCAUUAUAAUCAGUUGUGCUUAAGUAAUUGAUUGUUUCCUGAAGAUUUGCAUAUGACUAAGUCUAACCCAAUAUUUUGUAGGAGGAAUCAAGUUAUUAUUUGGCUGUUCGUUGGGCGCGUUUGAAUGUAUAUGUUGUACAACAUUGGGUGCAUUUGAGUGUAUAUACUGUCUAAAAAGUGAGUAUUUAUGCCCAUGUAAUGCCCCUGUUUAUUGAGGGCUCAACAUUGGGUGAAUGCACUUAGGUAUCCUGUGUUGGAAAACAUGGCAAGAAGAUUCUUAACUAUCCCUGCUAGCUCGGUGUCUUCUGAAUCCAGUUUUAGCACCGGUGGAAGAAUUCUGGAUGAUUAUCGAAGCUCUCUAAAACCAUACAUGGUGGAGGCCUUGGUGUGUGGCGGAAGCUAUAUCAAGGGUGCGCACAAAGACUUAAAUGUGUUGGAUGUGGAAGAAGAUGAUGAGGAGGAGGAUGUGGAGAAGGUCAAAUUGCCUAAAAGCGUGGCAGAUUGCAACUACUAGAUACAUUGUAGGGAGAAGACCAUCAAGAUGCAUUUGUUAAAUUUGCACAUGGAAGUAAAUCAAGCAAUGGAUCUAUAUUGGUCGUCACCCUUGAAUGAUGGAGUUCUUGCAUGGCUUAUGUUGCCUGAACUUUAGAUGUGACAUAUGUCAACUUCUCAACCUUGGACUAUUAAGUUUAUGUUGUCAUUGAAGUUUGAACUAUGGAUGUGACGUAUGUCAUCUUAUUUUGCUAAACUCAUGAAUGGUUUAUGUUCAUCUCAAUUUCUUCAGUGCUGUCCAAACUUGGGUGCAUUUGAUGUCCAAAUUUCAGUGUACUUGUUGUCCAAACCUGUGUGUAUUUUUCUGUCAAUAGUUUCAGACAUUCAGUGUUAAUGCUGUCCAAACUUGGGUGUAUAUGCUGUCAAAGUUUCAGGCUUUCAGUGUUGAUGCUGACCAAAGUUAGCACUUGGGUGUAUUUGCUUGAGUAUUUGCUGUCAAAGUUAGCACUUAGUACAUAUAAAUACUACUAUAUUAGAAAGAA
Long non-coding RNA from Aegilops tauschii subsp. strangulata, 2139 nucleotides. RefSeq lists it as uncharacterized. The record is from RefSeq and is a predicted model, not a curated record. NCBI's taxonomy places the organism in Eukaryota, Viridiplantae, Streptophyta, Magnoliopsida, Poales, Poaceae.